This 446-nucleotide ribosomal RNA is filed under the name uncultured bacterium. RNAcentral describes it as "SSU rRNA". It matches the Rfam family "Bacterial small subunit ribosomal RNA", at positions 26 to 518 of the family's 1533-position model. The record is from RNAcentral.
AGAGCGAACGCUGGCGGCAGGCCUAACACAUGCAAGUCGAGCGCCCGUAGCAAUACGGGAGCGGCAGACGGGAUAGUAACACGUGGGAACGCGCCCUUCGGUUCGGAAUAACUCAGGGAAACUUGAGCUAAUACCGGAUACGCCCUUACGGGGAAAGAUUUAUUGCCGAAGGAACGGCCCGCGUCCGAUUAGCUAGUUGGUGAGGUAAUGGCUCACCAAGGCUACGAUCGGUAGCUGGUCUGAGAGGAUGACCAGCAUCACUGGGACUGAGACACGGCCCAGACUCCUACGGGAGGCAGCAGUGGGGAAUAUGGACAAUGGGCGCAAGCCUGAUCCAGCCAUGCCGCGUGGAUGAUGAAGGCCUUAGGGUUGUAAAGUCCGUUUUAACGGGGAAGAUAAUGACGGUACCGUAGAAUAAGCCCGGCUAACUUCGCGCCAGCAGCCGC